CGCUGAGUUUGAUCCUGGCUCAGGAUGAACGCUAGCGGCAGGCUUAACACAUGCAAGUCGAGGGGUAUAGUUCUUCGGAGCUAGAGACCGGCGCACGGGUGCGUAACGCGUAUGCAAUCUACCUUUUAACAGAGGGAUAGCCCAGAGAAAUUUGGAUUAAUACCUCAUAGUAUGUGAGAACUCGCAUGGUUUUCACAUUAAAGUUCCAACGGUAAAAGAUGAGCAUGCGUCCCAUUAGCUAGAUGGUAAGGUAACGGC
This 258-nucleotide ribosomal RNA is filed under the name uncultured Flavobacterium sp. Its description in RNAcentral is "partial 16S ribosomal RNA". It matches the Rfam family "Bacterial small subunit ribosomal RNA", at positions 1 to 264 of the family's 1533-position model. Lineage: Bacteria; Pseudomonadati; Bacteroidota; Flavobacteriia; Flavobacteriales; Flavobacteriaceae. The record is from RNAcentral.